UACGGAGGGGGCAAGCGUUGUUCGGAAUUACUGGGCGUAAAGGGCGCGCAGGCGGCUGCUCAAGUCAGGUGUGAAAGCCCUGGGCUUAACCUAGGAAUUGCGCUUGAGACUGGAUAGCUUGGAGUGCGGCAGAGGGAGGUGGAAUUCCACGUGUAGCAGUGAAAUGCGUAGAGAUGUGGAGGAACACCGAUGGCGAAGGCAGCCUCCUGGGCCAGCACUGACGCUCAUGCACGAAAGCGUGGGGAGCAAACAGG
RNAcentral lists this ribosomal RNA (254 nucleotides) under uncultured bacterium. RNAcentral's name for it is "partial 16S ribosomal RNA". It matches the Rfam family "Bacterial small subunit ribosomal RNA", at positions 524 to 776 of the family's 1533-position model. The record is from RNAcentral.